UCGUGUCGCUCCAGCAGCCCUCGUUGUCUGCCUGAACUCUCACCCUGGUGGUCGGGAAAUGUCAACGAGAGGCCCGUGCCGCAGCAAGGGGGCGUUACGGGGAAAAAACAAUUGGCUUUAUUGUUAUAUUUUCACGCAAUUCGCCUUUUCUUAGUCUUGCCACUAGAGUAAGCAUCAAAAACGACCAGCACGCCGACCGCCAAGUCCGAUCCGCCGUGGACUGCUGUUCGCAUCCUUCAUCUGUCUCGUCUCGUAUUGCAAUCAUUGCCAAACAUGAGAAAUGAAACAUUUGUGCACUGGGACUGGAUGCUCUUACCAGCACACCCCACUUCCGCCAUGACACCCAGCAGAGGAUUCUGGGAUUGACGCAAGCAUCACUCCCACUGAUGGCCUGGACCAGGUUUCAGCUGGCCUGCUGAAGCUAUGGGGAGCUGCUGGAGCUGUCUAUACAGAGACACUAUCCGAGACAACCAUCUCAACAAAUUUAAGGUGACUAAUGUGGACGAUGAGGGAAAUGAGUUGGGCUCAGGAACCAUGGAGCUCACACAGACAGAGCUCAUUCUGCACACACGCAAACGUGAUGCCAUCCGGUGGCCAUACCUUUGUCUGCGCCGAUACGGUUAUGAUUCCAACC
Molecule: long non-coding RNA, 634 nt
Organism: Sinocyclocheilus anshuiensis
Lineage: Eukaryota; Metazoa; Chordata; Actinopteri; Cypriniformes; Cyprinidae
Exons: 4
Source: RefSeq, a predicted model, not a curated record